UACGUAGGGUGCGAGCGUUGUCCGGAAUUAUUGGGCGUAAAGGGCUCGUAGGCGGUUUGUCGCGUCGGGAGUGAAAUCCACUGGCUUAACUGGUGGCUUGCUUUCGAUACGGGCAGACUGGAGGUAUGCAGGGGAGACUGGAAUCCUGGUGUAGCGGUGAAAUGCGCAGAUAUCAGGAGGAACACCGGUGGCGAAGGCGGGUCUCUGGGCAAUAACUGACGCUGGAGGAGCGAAAAGCGUGGGGGAGCGAAACAGG
RNAcentral lists this ribosomal RNA (256 nucleotides) under uncultured bacterium. RNAcentral describes it as "partial 16S ribosomal RNA". It matches the Rfam family "Bacterial small subunit ribosomal RNA", at positions 524 to 776 of the family's 1533-position model. The record is from RNAcentral.